This 26-nucleotide small RNA is filed under the name Bombyx mori (domestic silkworm). RNAcentral's name for it is "ovarian small RNA-5292". The record is from RNAcentral. Lineage: Eukaryota; Metazoa; Arthropoda; Insecta; Lepidoptera; Bombycidae.
GCAUCAGUCAGGUUUCCACAAGUUAG